Molecule: ribosomal RNA, 497 nt
Filed under: uncultured bacterium
Lineage: Bacteria
Description: partial 16S ribosomal RNA
Rfam family: Bacterial small subunit ribosomal RNA
Source: RNAcentral
GAUGAACGCUGGCGGCGUGCCUAAUACAUGCAAGUCGAGCGAACAGACGAUGCUCUUGCUCGUCUGACGUGAGGGGCGGGGGUGUGAGUAACACGUGUAUCCCCUACCUAUAUUACUGAUAUCACUUGGGGAAUGCGGCGAUAAUCCCGGAUGAUCUCUUGAACCGCAGGGGUCGUUGGUAAGAUACGGUUGUGCUGUAUCUACUAGAGGGUUCCGCGCCGGAUUGGCUAGUUGGUCAGGUACCGGCUUACCAAGGCAACGAUGCGUAGACGACCGGAGGGGGUGAUCGGCCACCCUGGAAGUGAGACACCGUCCAGACUACUACGGGAGGCAGCAGUAGGGAAUCUUCCGCAACGGGCGAAAGCCUGACGGAGCAACGCCGCGCGAGUGAUGAAGGUCCUCGGAUCGUAAAACUCUGUUAUGAGGGAAGAACAACUGUGUACUUAAACAUGCCCUUAUUGACGGUAACUAAUCAGAAAGCACCGGCUAACUACGUG